UCCUUGGAACAGGACGUCAUAGAGGGUGAGAAUCCCGUAUGUGACUGGACAGGCACCCUUUGUAAAGCUCCUUCGACGAGUCGAGUUGUUUGGGAAUGCAGCUCUAAAUGGGAGGUAAAUUUCUUCUAAAGCUAAAUACCGGCCAGAGACCGAUAGCGCACAAGUAGAGUGAUCGAAAGAUGAAAAGCACUUUGGAAAGAGAGUUAAAAAGCACGUGAAAUUGUUGAAAGGGAAGGGCUUGCAAUUAGACUUGCCCGCAGUUGUUCAGCUGGUCUUCUGACCGGUUUAUUCUUCUGCGGGCAGGCCAGCAUCAGUUUCGGCGGCCGGAUAAAGGCUCUGGGAAUGUGGCUGUCCUUCGGGGCAGUGUUAUAGCCCAGGGUGUAAUACGGCCAGCCGGGACUGAGGUCCGCGCUUCGGCUAGGAUGCUGGCGUAAUGAUUGUAAGCCGCCCGUCUUGAAACACGGAC
Molecule: ribosomal RNA, 466 nt
Filed under: Aureobasidium sp.
Lineage: Eukaryota; Fungi; Ascomycota; Dothideomycetes; Dothideales; Saccotheciaceae
Description: partial large subunit ribosomal RNA
Rfam family: Eukaryotic large subunit ribosomal RNA
Source: RNAcentral